UUCGUGUGAGACAUACAUGACCGGGAGGGCUCAGUCCCUCUUCGUUUUGGGGGCUACCUUUGGUCUAAGUGCAAAGACUGCACUGUUCAACAGCAGAAUGUCCUAAGGAGACAUACCUGCCACUGCGCUCUAUCUAGAAGUUUAGGGACGUUUUUUGCUUUCUUACUUCCUGCUCCCAUCUCCUCUAUCAGUCACUCUUUGCCUGCUCGGAACCUACCCUGAAGUGACCACCCAAAUGUCUGGUGAGACCUUUCUUGUGCUUUCGGCUUCCUCUCUGAUUCCGAGGGGGAGGACAUGUGCUCCCCACUCAUGUCUAACAGUGCUUAGGUGGACUGUAGCUCUUCAGCUGACAUAGACUUGGCACCUAUGGCUCCUCAGCCGAUUAGCACUGAGUGGAAAGAGAAAACUGGCUAGUCACUGGAGCUGGUGUUGGUGCCAAGCUGGGGCAGCUCCAGUGGUGGCAGCACCCAGCUGUCUGGAACAAAACUGGGAGGAAGAGCCUGCGAGAGUGCUGUGCCUCAGCCAGGGGUGGGACCCAAAGGGCACAUGUUGCCUUAAAUGGCUUUAGUGUAAUGAAGAUGCCAUCCAGGUAGGGAGCUGCACAGAGAAAGGAGCAGCAGCAAAGACCAGUCUGGAGCCAGCAGAACCAUGCGUGACCAGCCUUGGAAAACCUCCAGCAUGACAUGAAAGUGAGACCAAGAGUGUAGACCUCUCCCUGGCCACGACCCCAGAGUAGAGUUUUGCUGUUGGGCAGCGGUCAGUCCUGAAGGUUCCUGGCGACUCUCAGGAGAGCUGGCUGUGUGUCACUGUGAUGGAGAAGAUCCCACAUUUGGUCCUCUGAUCUCCAGCCUGCUUUGGAGUUGGACGGCCCCUUCCAGAGGAGAGAGGAAUCAGGUCGCUCGCAUCUCGGGAGGAGACUGAGGGAGUGAUCAGCAGACGUGCUAGGAGAUCAGGAGAUCACCAACUGCCGCCCUGGGAGACGUCCUGGAAGGUAGCGUGUUCAGGUGAGACACGCGAGUGGCGUGGUCAGUUCUCUGUAAAGGAGAGAAGACGCACACCUUUAAUCCAGCAGGCACACCUUCUGCUGGGAGCCUUUGUGGGACAUGGAUGAAGGAAGCUUUUGCCUUUUGCCUGCUUGCUCUCUCCUUGCGACAAGUUUGUUCCUACGCUGGCAAGAGCCUACUUCUUCAGAAUACCAGAGUGUACUAGAGACCAGCUGAGACCCAGCCUUGGGGAUUGCGCAGCUAUCAGAAUCACGGACUUCCAGAUUAUAGCCAGCAAUUGUUGGAUUAGCUGGACUGCAUGUGAAUCAGGAUAAUCAAGUGCAUUUACCUGAAAAAUUGAUGAAAUAAUUCACUCCACGGUGUUUUGGUGCUGUCUGUGCUUCUAGCAGAGGCUUCAGCAACGGCCUCCUUCUCCACACUUUUCCAAAUUCCUCUUUCAAGCAAAUUCCAAAUGCGUGAAUCCUUCUGGACUUAGCAUUCUGACACCGGUGAGAGUGAGAGAGAGAUGUCACCAAAGGACCAAAGCCAGGAGAGCGCUAGUAGAUUCGGAAACAUUUCUGGAGGCCCCAGUGAGAUUCUUACUCACCAGGGCACUGCUUGGUCCAGGGAAGCUGCUGCCCCUGGGCCUCUCAACCUACCAGCAUUCUCUGGAGCUGGGAAGCACACAGCCCUGAUGGAAUUCUGAGGCCCUCACAAAUAAAAGAAUUCCAAAGCCUUCUUAAGUACAGGUCAGGUUUAGUCACAGCAAUGGCUCUAAUUCCCUAAUACCAAUUUCCCCUCUCCCUUCCUUUAUUCCUUUUUUGUUUUUGAAACUGGGUUUCUAGUGCAGCUUGGCCUUCACCUCACUAGGAAGCUCAGGGUGGCCUCCUGCCUCACCUUUCCAACUGCUGGGGUACCAGAUGUACAACAUAACACCUGUUUCAGGCACUGGUUUUCUGUGUUUUGUCACUGUAAAGAAUCCCUGAGAAAAUAAUUUGAAAGAAGGAAUGAUGUAUUUUGGUUGAUGGUUUCAGAGGUUUUAGACUAUCACCAGGAGGAGACACCAGAGCAGGGAAGUUUCCAUUGUGGUGAUGUCCAGAGGAACCCAACAUUGGUCCUCUAAGAGCAGGGAGUAACCACAGAGCUAUUUAUUUAGCCUCACAUGUUAAUCUCUUAGUGCCUAAAUUCAUAUGAAAAAGGAGUAGUGACAAAGAAAUGAGUGAAUAGAAAGGAAUCGUGAAGCUGAACCGAACAGCUGGGGCCUUCAUUUCCAAAAGUCCACUGAGAAGUAUAUGGGCAAGGGCAGCCUGGCUCACAGUGGCACCCCUGCUUCCAAGGUUCUCUUCCCUUACUGCCACUUAGCAGUUGGCAAAAAUCACAACCAAAGAGCCAGUGGAGAGCAGCAUCGUGAAGGGAGCGGAGUAGAUUCCCAUGCAGCUGGCAAAAUGCCGUUGUGGACUCUCAGUGGGAGGAACUUUCCCUUUAUAUGAAACCAGGUGUCAUGCGGCUAAGCGUCCAGUGCUGGAGUGUAUUGAUGGGGACUGUGUGGCUCAUAUUGUAUUGUACUCAUUUCCCAGUCUUCCCAUGAUAUCCACCACACCAGAAAAAAAAGGAAGUAAAAAAAUGAAAAAAGAAAAAAGCAAGUCUAUUUCGUGUUGUCCAUGUGUUCACUGGAGCAUGACCAAAUUCCUAGUGUCCAGCUCCCUGCAUCCUCGCCAGAAGCGUCAAUGGAGGAGAAUCAUGCAGUGACUGGAAAGGGGCCCUGUCAGCUCUCCCAUACCCACACCAUUGCCUCAACAGGCUGUGGGGCAGCAGAGGGCUGGGGUCAGCUCUCUGGUGACCUGGGACAUAAAUAUGACUUCAGGCAGCAGCCCAGACCACAAAUAUUCGCAUGUGCUUCCAUGGUAACAUAAGCUGCAGGUGAUCAUCAGUAUGGCCCUUGACUGUAUCAGGAUGCUGCAUGGGCCACGGAUGUCAACAUGGCCUCAGGUGGCUACAUAUGCCACUCCCAUCAGGGUGCCCCUCUCUUUCCAGGCAGAACAGUCUGAGGACAUCACCAAGACAUCAGGCAGAGGCACAGACUGCGUACAACCACAUGGCCCUCAGUCUUAAUGACAGUCUGGGGCAGCAGCAUGGGCCACAGACACCAACAUGGUCUCUGGUGUCAUCUUGGAUCACGGUAGUGCUUUGAGGAGGUCUAAUCCAGACAGUGAACCUUUCCUCAUCGUGGGCCUCCAUCGUUGCUCAGAGCCAGGGGGAUCCCGUGGCCAGGCAGCAGGUUUGAAAGCUAAGUUUGCAUCUGCAUACACUCCAGGCUGUUGUACACCAUCCUGUUGUGCAGGGUUGUUUGUUGGUUCCCAGCCCCCUACUAUCUUAGACUCAAAAUAAUCACAUGGAAACUGUAUUAAUUAAACCACUGCU
Molecule: long non-coding RNA, 3404 nt
Organism: Myodes glareolus (Bank vole)
Lineage: Eukaryota; Metazoa; Chordata; Mammalia; Rodentia; Cricetidae
Source: RefSeq, a predicted model, not a curated record